RNAcentral lists this ribosomal RNA (254 nucleotides) under uncultured bacterium. RNAcentral describes it as "partial 16S ribosomal RNA". It matches the Rfam family "Bacterial small subunit ribosomal RNA", at positions 524 to 776 of the family's 1533-position model. The record is from RNAcentral.
UACGUAGGGACCAAGCGUUGUUCGGAUUUACUGGGCGUAAAGGGCGCGUAGGCGGUCGUGACAAGUCACUUGUGAAAUCUCCGGGCUUAACUCGGAACGGUCAAGUGAUACUGUCGGACUAGAGUACAGAAGGGGCAACUGGAAUUCUCGGUGUAGCGGUGAAAUGCGUAGAUAUCGAGAGGAACACCUGCGGCGAAGGCGGGUUGCUGGGCUGAUACUGACGCUGAGGCGCGAAAGCCAGGGGAGCGAACGGG